GAAGGGCACCACCAGGAGUGGAGCCUGCGGCUUAAUUUGACUCACAGGCCGAAACUUACCCGGCCUGGACUGGGAAGGAUUGACAGAUUGAGAGCUCUUUCUUGAUUCAGUGGGUGGUGGUGCAUGGCCGUGCUUAGUUGGUGGAGCGAUUUGUCUGGUUAAUUCCGAUAACGAACGAGACUCUAGCCUAUUAAAUAGGCUCCCGGCUUUUAAACGCCGGGAGGACUUCUUAGAGGGACAGGUGGCGGUUCAGCCGCACGAAAGAGAGCAAUAACAGGUCUGUGAUGCCCUUUGUUGUCCGGGGCCGCACGCGCGCUACACUGAAGAGAUCAGCGUGCUUUAUGUUCCUGCUCCGACCGGAGUGGGGAACCCAGUGAACCUUCUUCGUGAUUGGGAUAGAAGAUUGUAAUUAUUCUUCUUGAACGAGGAAUUCCCAGUAAAUGCGAGUCAUAAGCUCGCGUUGAUUAUGUCCCUGCCCUUUGUACACACCGCCCGUCGCUACUACCGAUUGAACGAUUU
This 519-nucleotide ribosomal RNA is filed under the name uncultured eukaryote. Its description in RNAcentral is "SSU rRNA". It matches the Rfam family "Eukaryotic small subunit ribosomal RNA", at positions 1159 to 1699 of the family's 1831-position model. The record is from RNAcentral.